GUACUAUUGCGAGCCAGCUUCAUGCACAUGGCCUUGAAAUUACUUCUGGAUCAAGAGAACUCGGAGAAAAGUUUUGGGUUAGGAUGUUGUUAGAUACAACUUAUUUAUAUCAUGUGUGAAAUUGACCACCAGAUUUGAGUGGUCAUAACGUAUGAUAUGAAGCAACGUUUCACAGAGUAUGUUACAAUACUAGCUGGUUUAUUGGAUUGAUGUUAUGCAAUUCUGCAAACUAUUUAAGGUCAUACUCAUAUGGAUAUGAUUGAUUAAUGACUGCUAAAUUAAUUUUGGGUAAGACUAAUUUUUGAUGGAUUUUAAAUCUAUUGGUUUGCUCUGCAGGUGCCAAAGCCCUAUACUAAACCUCUAAAAGAGAAAUUCCAUUUCUAAUGACGAGUUCCAAGUGCAAGAGUAGAAAAGAUUUCAAGAUUUGGGGAAGUAAUCAGGAGGAUGCCUAUGAUUUAGUUCACCAAUAACCAAGUGAUUUAGUUACUUCUAUAUUGGAUUUAGUACAGACAAUCCCUAAACUCUUUUGAAUUAGUAUAUAGUAUUUGAUCUAACUACUUUGAACUAGUACUUAUUGUAAGGGAAUACUUUGAGUUAUUACUUUAAUUUAUAUAUAUAUAUAUUUCUUUUGUCCA
Long non-coding RNA from Rosa rugosa (rugosa rose), 635 nucleotides. RefSeq lists it as uncharacterized. The record is from RefSeq and is a predicted model, not a curated record. NCBI's taxonomy places the organism in Eukaryota, Viridiplantae, Streptophyta, Magnoliopsida, Rosales, Rosaceae. The transcript is spliced from 2 exons.